GUAGUUAGCCGGGGCUUUCUAAUGGGGUACCGUCAUUUUUUCGUCCCCCACAACAGAGGUUUACAAUCCGAAAACCUUCUUCCCUCACGCGGCGUUGCUGGGUCAGGCUUGCGCCCAUUGCCCAAUAUUCCCCACUGCUGCCUCCCGUAGGAGUCUGGACCGUGUCUCAGUUCCAGUGUGGCCGAUCAGCCUCUCAGCUCGGCUACCCAUCGCAGGCUUGGUGGGCUGUUAUCUCACCAACUACCUAAUGGGACGCGAACCCCUCCCUCAGCGGAUUGCUCCUUUGACCUCAUCCCGAUGCCGGGUCGUGGUCUUAUGCGGUAUUAGCACUUGUUUCCAGGUGUUAUCCCCCUCUGAAGGUCAGGUUGUUCACGCGUUACUCACCCGUUCGCCACUAAAAUUUAUCUUCCAUCCGAAAACUUCUGAUAAAUCUCCGUUCGACUUGCAUGUGUUAGGCACGCCGCCAGCGUUCGUCCUGAGCCAUAAUCAAACUCUGA
This 497-nucleotide ribosomal RNA is filed under the name uncultured bacterium. RNAcentral's name for it is "partial 16S ribosomal RNA". The record is from RNAcentral.